AUGAUUAGUCCUCUUUCUGUUGCUUGUUGGAAUGUGAGAGGUUUAAACAGCAGAGCCAGACGGGCUGCGGUGCGCGCCAUGCUUGACCAGUUGUCAUGCUCGAUCAUUUGCUUGCAGGAAUCCAAGCUAGCGACGGUUGCUGGAUCAUACAUCACCGAAAUUGCAGGACCCACUUUUGAUCAACACGCGGUGCUCCCUGCUGAUGGCACUCGGGGCAGUGUGCUGCUCUGCUGGCGCACG
RNAcentral lists this ribosomal RNA (240 nucleotides) under Triticum aestivum (bread wheat). RNAcentral describes it as "partial small subunit ribosomal RNA". The record is from RNAcentral. Lineage: Eukaryota; Viridiplantae; Streptophyta; Magnoliopsida; Poales; Poaceae.